CAGUAGCCACGGUAAUACGAAGGGUGCAAGCGUUACUCGGAAUUACUGGGCGUAAAGCGUGCGUAGGUGGUGGUUUAAGUCCGUUGUGAAAGCCCUGGGCUCAACCUGGGAAUUGCAGUGGAUACUGGGUCACUAGAGUGUGGUAGAGGAUAGUGGAAUUUCCGGUGUAGCAGUGAAAUGCGUAGAGAUCGGAAGGAACAUCUGUGGCGAAGGCGACUAUCUGGGCCAACACUGACACUGAGGCACGAAAGCGUGGGGAGCAAACAGGAUUAGAGACCCCCGUAGUCCCUGUCUCUUAUAA
This 301-nucleotide ribosomal RNA is filed under the name uncultured bacterium. RNAcentral describes it as "partial 16S ribosomal RNA". It matches the Rfam family "Bacterial small subunit ribosomal RNA", at positions 509 to 809 of the family's 1533-position model. The record is from RNAcentral.